Molecule: ribosomal RNA, 449 nt
Filed under: uncultured bacterium
Lineage: Bacteria
Description: partial 16S ribosomal RNA
Rfam family: Bacterial small subunit ribosomal RNA
Source: RNAcentral
AGCGAACGCUGGCGGCAGGCCUAACACAUGCAAGUCGAACGAAGUCUUCGGACUUAGUGGCGGACGGGUGAGUAACACGUGGGAACGUGCCUUUAGGUUCGGAAUAACUCAGGGAAACUUGUGCUAAUACCGAAUGUGCCCUUCGGGGGAAAGAUUUAUCGCCUUUAGAGCGGCCCGCGUCUGAUUAGCUAGUUGGUGAGGUAAAGGCUCACCAAGGCGACGAUCAGAAGCUGGUCUGAGAGGAUGAUCAGCCACAUUGGGACUGAGACACGGCCCAAACUCCUACGGGAGGCAGCGGUGGGGGAUCUUGCGCAAUGGGCGAAAGCCUGACGAAGCCAUGCCGCGUGAAUGAUGAAGGUCUUAGGAUUGUAAAAUUCUUUCACCGGGGACGAUAAUGACGGUACCCGGGGAAGAAGCCCCGGCUAACUUCGUGCCAGCAGCCGCCGUAA